This 23-nucleotide non-coding RNA is filed under the name Cricetulus griseus (Chinese hamster). The record is from RNAcentral. Lineage: Eukaryota; Metazoa; Chordata; Mammalia; Rodentia; Cricetidae.
AAAAAAAGUUGGCUUAGAGACAU